RNAcentral lists this ribosomal RNA (699 nucleotides) under Salmonella enterica. RNAcentral's name for it is "partial 23S ribosomal RNA". It matches the Rfam family "Bacterial large subunit ribosomal RNA", at positions 1059 to 1757 of the family's 2925-position model. Lineage: Bacteria; Pseudomonadati; Pseudomonadota; Gammaproteobacteria; Enterobacterales; Enterobacteriaceae. RNAcentral also lists the same sequence under 1 other name. The record is from RNAcentral.
UUAAGUGGGAAACGAUGUGGGAAGGCCCAGACAGCCAGGAUGUUGGCUUAGAAGCAGCCAUCAUUUAAAGAAAGCGUAAUAGCUCACUGGUCGAGUCGGCCUGCGCGGAAGAUGUAACGGGGCUAAACCAUGCACCGAAGCUGCGGCAGCGACGCUGAUGCGUUGUUGGGUAGGGGAGCGUUCUGUAAGCCUGUGAAGGUGGCCUGUGAGGGUUGCUGGAGGUAUCAGAAGUGCGAAUGCUGACAUAAGUAACGAUAAAGCGGGUGAAAAGCCCGCUCGCCGGAAGACCAAGGGUUCCUGUCCAACGUUAAUCGGGGCAGGGUGAGUCGACCCCUAAGGCGAGGCCGAAAGGCGUAGUCGAUGGGAAACGGGUUAAUAUUCCCGUACUUGGUGUUACUGCGAAGGGGGGACGGAGAAGGCUAUGUUGGCCGGGCGACGGUUGUCCCGGUUUAAGCGUGUAGGUGUGUGUUCCAGGUAAAUCCGGUUCACUUUAACACUGAGGCGUGAUGACGAGGCACUACGGUGCUGAAGCAACAAAUGCCCUGCUUCCAGGAAAAGCCUCUAAGCAUCAGGUAACAUCAAAUCGUACCCCAAACCGACACAGGUGGUCAGGUAGAGAAUACCAAGGCGCUUGAGAGAACUCGGGUGAAGGAACUAGGCAAAAUGGUGCCGUAACUUCGGGAGAAGGCACGCUGACAC